Molecule: long non-coding RNA, 892 nt
Organism: Lingula anatina
Lineage: Eukaryota; Metazoa; Brachiopoda; Lingulata; Lingulida; Lingulidae
Source: RefSeq, a predicted model, not a curated record
CCGAACAUACCGACCACAACGACCACACCGACCACAACAACCACCGUUGCAAGAGGACCUACAUGCUAUUCGUGCUCCGGCAUCCAGUGUUCCAAAUCACAGAGCAUUUUGCUUUCCUAUUCUUUGACAUGUUCUUAUGGAUAUGUGUGCUACACCUCGGCCUCGGCCUACGAAAGUUACAGUCUGUUCUACAGUUCUUCCACCAUUGCCUACAGCUACAGCCGCGGGUGCAGGCGUCUGUCAUCUUGUACCAGUCAGGAACUCCAGGGGAAUACAUGCACGGGAACUAGGACCAGUAAAGUAUGUAGGCAGUGCUGCACUACUAACUACUGUAACAAUGGUACACUGGAUACGUCCCAAAGCAGCACCAACAACACAGGAUCCGGUCCCAGGAGUGCUUGGUUUGACGUCCUCUACGCGUUUUUGUUCUUUAUCUUUGCUUGGAAUUAAAGCCACAGUGUGCCCGCUUUACACCCUACUGUGACAGCAAACUCAAACAGUUUUAACUGUGGUACAGAUUUAUUGUGGAAUAUUAUAUUCAAAACUAUUGACAGAAUUACAAUAUUAAAAGUCGAAGUUGGGUGUAUAUGUGCUGUAAAGGUAAAGGGAUAAUAACUCUUCGUGUUAGAUCUAUAUUUCACAAUAAAAACAUUGUGAGUACACACAUCUGAGGUCCAAAUGUUUUGCUCGCAAUUUCGAUUGUUAUUAUUGUGACAUUUAGAAAAAGUUUGUCAUGCUGCGCGUGUGAGCAAGUGACUAAGAAAAGGAACAUAGACAUUUCGUCAUUUUAAUUCAAGACAGGAUUGAUGGUACCGUUAUUGCCGCAUCUCAGGCUAAUUACUCACAGAGAACAUUUCGACACUAGAAAUAUGAGUAUAGCUACGAUAUAUUA